UGCAAGUCGAACGAUGAUCCCAGCUUGCUGGGGGAUUAGUGGCGAACGGGUGAGUAACACGUGAGUAACCUGCCCUUGACUCUGGGAUAAGCCUGGGAAACUGGGUCUAAUACCGGAUAUGACCGCUCUGACGCAUGUCAGGUGGUGGAAAGCUUUUGUGGUUUUGGAUGGACUCGCGGCCUAUCAGCUUGUUGGUGGGGUAAUGGCCUACCAAGGCGACAACGGGUAGCCGGCCUGAGAGGGUGACCGGCCACACUGGGACUGAGACACGGCCCAAACUCCUACGGGAGGCAGCAGUGGGGAAUAUUGCACAAUGGGCGCAAGCCUGAUGCAGCGACGCCGCGUGAGGGAUGACGGCCUUCGGGUUGUAAACCUCUUUCAGUAGGGAAGAAGCGAAAGUGACGGUACCUGCAAAAAAAGCGCCGGCUAACUACUGCCAGCAGCCGCGGUAAUACGUAGGGCGCAAGCGUUAUCCGGAAUUAUUGGGCGUAAAGAGCUCGUAGGCGGUUUGUCGCGUCUGCUGUGAAAAACCGGGGCUCAACUCCGGUUCUGCAGUGGGUACGGGCAGACUAAAGUGGAUGUAGGGGAGACUGGAAUUCCUGGU
RNAcentral lists this ribosomal RNA (604 nucleotides) under Arthrobacter sp. Its description in RNAcentral is "bacterial SSU rRNA". It matches the Rfam family "Bacterial small subunit ribosomal RNA", at positions 56 to 674 of the family's 1533-position model. The record is from RNAcentral. Lineage: Bacteria; Bacillati; Actinomycetota; Actinomycetes; Micrococcales; Micrococcaceae.